This 537-nucleotide ribosomal RNA is filed under the name Trigonopterus sp. 1072 AR-2022a. RNAcentral describes it as "partial large subunit ribosomal RNA". It matches the Rfam family "Bacterial large subunit ribosomal RNA", at positions 1825 to 2625 of the family's 2925-position model. Lineage: Eukaryota; Metazoa; Arthropoda; Insecta; Coleoptera; Curculionidae. The record is from RNAcentral.
GGCUUAUUGACAAUAAUUUUAGGUCUGGCCUGCCCUAUGAGGAGUUUAAUGGCCGCGGUAUAUUGACCGUGCAAAGGUAGCAUAAUCAUUAGUUUUUUAAAUGAAAGCUGGAAUGAAAGGUUUGAUGAAAAAUUAGCUGUCUCUAUAAGAAUUUAUUAGAAUUUUAUUUUUAAGUUAAAAAGCUUAAAUUUUAGUGGAAGACGAGAAGACCCUAUAGAUUUUUAUAGUUAUAGUAAUACAUUAAUUUAAAGUAGUUGAAAUUUUAUAUUAUUAUUAUUAUUUUGUUGGGGUGAUAGAAAAAUUAGAAAAACUUUUUUUUUAUUUUUACAUUAAUUUGUGAUUUUUUUGAUCCUAGAGUUAAGAUUAGAAGAGUAAAUUACCUUAGGGAUAACAGCGUAAUUUUUUAAAGAGUUCUUAUCGGAAAAAAAGAUUGCGACCUCGAUGUUGGAUUAAAAUUAAGUUAUGGUGUAGAGGCUAUAAUGUUAGGUCUGUUCGACCUUUAAAAUUUUACAUGAUCUGAGUUUAAACCGGUGUAAG